RNAcentral lists this ribosomal RNA (533 nucleotides) under uncultured bacterium. RNAcentral's name for it is "bacterial SSU rRNA". It matches the Rfam family "Bacterial small subunit ribosomal RNA", at positions 777 to 1314 of the family's 1533-position model. The record is from RNAcentral.
AAUAGAUACCGGGUAGUCCACGCUGUAAACGAUGGAUACUAGGUGUAGGAGGUAUCGACCCCUUCUGUGCCGGAGUUAACACAAUAAGUAUCCCACCUGGGGAGCACGGCCGCAAGGUUGAAACUCAAAGGAAUUGACGGGGGCCCGCACAAGCAGUGGAGUAUGUGGUUUAAUUCGAAGCAACGCGAAGAACCUUACCAAGGUUUGACAUAAUAGUGAAUACGUCAGAGAUGGCGUAGCCCUUCGGGGCACUAUUACAGGUGGUGCAUGGUUGUCGUCAGCUCGUGUCGUGAGAUGUUGGGUUAAGUCCCGCAACGAGCGCAACCCCUGUCGUUAGUUGAUAACAUUCAGUUGAUCACUCUAGCGAGACUGCCGGUGAUAAAUCGGAGGAAGGUGGGGACGACGUCAAAUCAUCAUGCCCCUUAUGUCUUGGGCUACACACGUACUACAAUGGCUAUUACAGAGGGAAGCUAAGCUGCAAAGUGGAGCAAAUCCCCAAAAAUGUCCCAGUUCAGAUUGUGGGCUGCAACCCG